Rosa chinensis is the source of this 1388-nucleotide long non-coding RNA. RefSeq lists it as uncharacterized. The record is from RefSeq and is a predicted model, not a curated record. NCBI's taxonomy places the organism in Eukaryota, Viridiplantae, Streptophyta, Magnoliopsida, Rosales, Rosaceae. The transcript is spliced from 3 exons.
AAUAUGCUGCAUGUUAGUGACUAAUGGUAAUGGUGUGGCAAAAAAUAAGACAAGUAGAUCAAUGAGACUUGUAGUAUAUUCUUUGUUCCCAGAAUGUUAUCCUGGGAGAGCUAAGUUUACAUUAGUUGAAUACAUAAUUUCACUUUCUUUCAGUUCAAAAUUGCAAUCGUGAUUUUUGCACCAAUUAAUGUUGUUGAAGAUGCAUACAAUAUUGUCAUAUGUCUGCUUCAUAAAUUGUGUAUCUUUCAGUUCAGCUCCACUGCAGCUUCAAACUCACAGAAGAUUCCCAUCAGCAGAAGCAGUGAGUCAAUUCAGUUGAUGACAUGCCUCUUCUUCAUCUUGACUCAACGGCUUUUUGAAUAUGAAGUUGGAUCCCAUUUUGAUUUCAUCAUUCAGUCACUCACUUAAACUGGAAGUGAGAUCAAGGAAGGUGUCUUCACUGCAAGGGAUUGUGAUACUGCCCAUGGGAUGAUCGUAUCCAAAUUCUUCUACAGCUUGACUCAGCAAAUCCAUAAAUGAAGGUUGGUUCAAGUAUGAUAUUGGAAUCACAAAUCGCUUCUUCUGGCUCUCUCCGACAUAGACUGCAAAAUAGCCUUUUGGGAUAUCCAAGGUCUUUGAAGCUGUCUGUUUGCAUUAGAUGAAGAUCGAGUCAGACUUCUCUUGGGGCUAACAAUUCCAGGCAGCCGGAAACCCAUGGCUUCCAUAUUCCCAAGUGGAUAAAUAAUAAAAAGACUUGAAAGGAUCUGGGAAAUAGAGAAAGCUUUGAUGUUUGAUAAAUGAGAGGAGUUGAGUUCCUGAUGAUUGAUUUGUGUAUGUAUAUAUAGAUGAUGAAAGGGUGUGUGGAAGAUCAUCUACUACAUGAAAUGAGUGGUUAACAUUGGCACCAAUGAGGGAGGCGAGCUUGUUUCAAAUCAAGAAAUCACAUGGGUUUGUCUUCCCAUUCACUUAAUUCAGCCACCAGCAGAUGCAUAUGCUGCUGCCCUUUUUUUCAAACAUCCUUCCCUACAUCCUUGAGAUGACGGACAAUACAGGGUCACAGGGACCAGAAGUGAGACAAGAAUUGGUGGAUCGCCAAGCCAGCCUACCAUGUGGUCUUGCUGCUUCAUGAGAAGUAGCAGUCUGAUCAAAUGCUAACUAGUACAGGGUAUCAUUAACUUUCACAGAUAUUGAGAAUCUUUACUGAAAUGAAGAAAAGCUUGCAUGCCUCCCAGGAUUUCUGAGCAGUGUAUUCAAUUCUAAAACUCCAAAGUCGACUUCCGAUGUUUAUUAGAGCUUGCAGUUGAUCCUGGAUAAUUUGUGGUACCAUUUCCCUGCUAGAACUUAAUUCUCAGGGAAAGAUAAUAACUCUUUUCAUGCACUCCAGUAUUCGAUUUUCUAUCAUUUUUUAC